This is a long non-coding RNA of Astatotilapia calliptera (eastern happy), 762 nucleotides long. The record is from Ensembl. Lineage: Eukaryota; Metazoa; Chordata; Actinopteri; Cichliformes; Cichlidae.
GAGUAGAAAGUAAUAUUAAAUAAAUUCUAACAACAGCUUAUCAAGCUUAAACGUGCUGGUGUUGUUCAGCCGCUGGUUUCCUCUUUCUUGGUGCAAAUGGGCCAAAAGCAAACUAGAGACACGACUCGCGACAGAAAAGCCGAUCAGCUGAUCAUUAAGCAGUUUCAUGAUUGAAGUAGCAGCAGCAGAAGAGGCAGUCGCUCCAUAUAUCGUUUGUUAAGCUUAACGCAGGAAUGCUUUACAAACAUUCAGAGAUGGACUUACACACUUGCUUUACUUCUCUCGGGGAUAACUUUGUCGGAGAUGAAAUGCCGGGUUGCUAGCGAAGCUCCAAAUGCUAUCCAGACCACCGACAGGUCCUGCAUGCCACAGCCGCUCUAUCACGUGAUGCAUACUGCUCCGACGUGCUAACGUUCUGAGAGGCGGCGGCAAGAGGGGAGACCUCGGAUCAUCCAGCUGGAGAGCUUGACCAGGAGGAGUCAAACAUUAACUCGGUUCUUCCAGGGCACCCUGCAGACUUAGCUGCUGGCAUUGGCGAGGGAGUGCAGCUGCCACUGGGAUGACGUGAACGCCAAACAGGAGUCCAUCGCAGGUCAACUGAAGCUCCUUGUCUUAGAGUGGGAGGGAUUUGAAGCACAAAGGGAGGACCUUGUCAUUUGGUUGGCUGAUACGGAUGUCCGCCUGAGUGAGGUUGACCAGCUGACAAGAAACACCUAUGAAAAACUGAAACAACUGCAGGUGUGGGGUUGUUUUGAUAUGACA